AGACCGCCUGGCCUUGGGUGGAUCGGGUCUCUGGGCAGAGCGUGUGUCCGGCAGAGCUAGGACCGGAAAAAGCCACUCUAGGUCUAGGUUAGGAGUGAUGACAGUUAAAAGAUAUAUAAGGAAAAGAAGGAAAGGAUCGUUUCUGUAUAAAACGAGCUAUUUUUGCAUAUCGAGCGCAUAAGUUUUAUAACUUAGGUGUCUGUUUAUGGAGAGGGUGGGAUACUACCUUUUAGCUCAAGGAGUGCACAAAACGGUAUCAUGAAUUCUGCUCUUUUGAUUCAAACACCCAACUUUGAAGAAUCGCUCAUGGUGCUUGUAAAACACGUAUCCCCAGAUCCCUCCCUAGACCUAUCGAACAACUCCAACGGUCUCGGGAAUGUGCGUGGUUUCUGAAAAGCUUGGGAAGCAAGACCUGACUAGACCCCCAAAUCUGAUAUUGGCUGAAUGGCCGACCAAUGGAGUGCAUAAGAAGGUAAGUUGUCAUGUGGCACUCUCAUCACAUUUUCAGGGUAGAGGACUUUCUGAAAUACAGAGGAGGUGUAAGGGGAACUAAGAAAACACUUGAUUACAGCACAUGGUAGCUGGCACAUAGGAAGGUCCUUACUGUUGGCUGAGCCUUGUUCUUUCCCAACAUUGAGACAUCGAGAGCAGCCCAAGCAGCAAAAAGAUUACGAAGACAGCUUGAGCCAGGGUCUUUAGACUACACAGCUUCUGCUUUUUCCCCUCUGUGAAGGAUGCCUAGGGACUGUGCUGGCAGCCCAGCUCCAGCCCUUGAUCCUGAACUUCUGCCUUCCUGGAACUUGCAAACUGAAUGUGAAUAUUCAGUUGCAUGUUGCAUGUUUCCUUCCGGGGCUACUUUAUUGCAAAUUUUAACUUAAAUUUGACCUGGUUAACUGCAGGCCACAUUGAGGACAGCUUCUGUCUUGAUGUUAGAGAAAAACUCUUAUAAAAAUAAAUCUUUUAAUAACCAGAGAAAACCAUCCAACUCCUGAAAGAUGCUUUUCAUAGUAAAACUGAUGGUUUUCAAAACACUUUGACAUGUGUGCUUAUUUAAUCUUCAUAGAAAACUGUAAAGCUUAUUCCACAAGCCAUAAUGGAAGAAAUCAGGUUGGGGGCUCAAUUCUCAGAGCCUGUUGGCUCUAGGCAGAAAGGGAGUUACUACACUUUAGGGCAAUUUGCACUUCAAAUAGCUGGCCCUUGAGCAGACAGGUCCCUCUGCUCUUUCCAAGCCACCCAAAAGCAAUAGUUUUGACAUUAGUGCCCUGCAAGGCAUAGCCUAGGCAUUAGGGUCUAGGUUCAGAAAGUGUUUCCUUCUGGAAUGAAACUGAAAUGAAAGAAAUGGGUUAUUUUGUGCUAGUCCUUUCGAUUAGGACUCUCCUUAAGCUAAAUGUACUGAUAAGAUUGGGACAACACCCAUACCCAAUCAGAAAACUCCAGUCUUGAAAAUCAACUCUUUAAGAUAAACAGUUUGAUUUGUGACAGGUUUUCCGGUAAUCUCACAAGCGCAUCAGGGACUGAUAAAAAAGGAAAGGAGGCACUUUUUCAGUGUAAAAAUGGCUUUACUCUGGGGAAUGCAAAGAGAUGACAACUAAGAACUCACAUUCAGAAGUCAGGUGUUCAAAUCGUAGCUCUGCCCUAAGAGUGACCUUGGGAAGUUACUUUUCUAGGACUUGUUUCCUCAUCCAUAAAAUGGGUGAGUGAUGAGGACAAUGUUUAUCACAGUUGUGAUUACAUCAUAUAUAUAUAUAAAGUACUUACAACCGUGCUACAUAGUGAGACCUAUUAAUACUUUUCAACUCUGAAACUUUUAAAACUAGCACCCGGCUGGGCGUGGUGGCUCACACCUGUAAUCCCAGAACUUUGGGAGGCCAAGGCAGGCAGAUCACUUAAGGUCCGGAGUUCAAGACCAACCUGGCCAAAAUGAUGAAACCCCAUCUCUACUAAAAAUACAACUACCCGGGCGUGGUGGUGGGCGUCUGUAAUCCCAGAUACUCAGGAGGCUGAGGCACGAGAAUCACUUGAAUCCAGGAGGCAGAGGUUGCAGUGAGCUGAGAUAGCGCCACCACACUCCAUUCUGGGCAAGAGAGUGAGACUGCGUCUCAAAAAAAAAAAAGUAUUUCAAAAGCAGAGGUUUUGCAAAGCUGAAGGCCUAAAAAAAAGUAUAUAAUUACAGUUCAAACUUAUUUGAUGGGCACAAAUCCAAGUUUGUCAACAUGCUCUGUUAGCAAGAUACAG
RNAcentral lists this long non-coding RNA (2235 nucleotides) under Homo sapiens (human). RNAcentral describes it as "HSALNT0310087". The record is from RNAcentral. Lineage: Eukaryota; Metazoa; Chordata; Mammalia; Primates; Hominidae.